GUGGGGAAUAUUGGACAAUGGGCGAAAGCCUGAUCCAGCCAUGCCGCGUGUGUGAAGAAGGUCUUCGGAUUGUAAAGCACUUUAAGUUGGGAGGAAGGGCAGUAAGUUAAUACCUUGCUGUUUUGACGUUACCGACAGAAUAAGCACCGGCUAACUUCGUGCCAGCAGCCGCGGUAAUACGAAGGGUGCAAGCGUUAAUCGGAAUUACUGGGAGUAAAGCGCGCGUAGGUGGUUUUGUAAGUUGGAGGUGAAAUCCCCGGGCUCAACCUGGGAACUGCCUCCAGAACUGCAUGACUAGAGUACGGUAGAGGGUAGUGGAAUUUGCUGUGUAGCGGUGAAAUGCGUAGAUAUAGGAAGGAACACCAGUGGCGAAGGCGACUACCUGGACUGAUACUGACACUGAGGUGCGAAAGCGUGGGGAGCAAACAGGAUUAGAAACCCGUGUAGUCC
This 450-nucleotide ribosomal RNA is filed under the name uncultured bacterium. RNAcentral describes it as "bacterial SSU rRNA". It matches the Rfam family "Bacterial small subunit ribosomal RNA", at positions 354 to 796 of the family's 1533-position model. The record is from RNAcentral.